This 327-nucleotide ribosomal RNA is filed under the name uncultured eukaryote. RNAcentral describes it as "partial 18S ribosomal RNA". It matches the Rfam family "Eukaryotic small subunit ribosomal RNA", at positions 1470 to 1796 of the family's 1831-position model. The record is from RNAcentral.
CCCUUAGAUGUCCUGGGCCGCACGCGCGCUACACUGAUGCAUGCAACGAGUUUAUAACCUUGGCCUGAAAGGUCUGGGUAAUCUUUUGAACGUGCAUCGUGACAGGGAUAGAUUAUUGCAAUUGUUAAUCUUGAACGAGGAAUUCCUAGUAAACGCGAGUCAUCAGCUCGCAUUGAUUACGUCCCUGCCCUUUGUACACACCGCCCGUCGCUCCUACCGAUUGAGUAAUCCGGUGAAUAAUUCGGACCGAUUGCGAUGUCAGUUCCUGGCGCCGCAGACGGAAAGUCUAGUGAACCUUAUUACUUAGAGGAAGGAGAAGUCGUAACA